UGGGGAAUAUUGGACAAUGGGCGCAAGCCUGAUCCAGCCAUGCCGCGUGAGUGAUGAAGGCCUUAGGGUUGUAAAGCUCUUUCAGUGGGGAAGAUAAUGACGGUACCCACAGAAGAAGCCCCGGCUAACUUCGUGCCAGCAGCCGCGGUAAUACGAAGGGGGCUAGCGUUGUUCGGAUUUACUGGGCGUAAAGCGCACGUAGGCGGAUUGUUAAGUGAGGGGUGAAAUCCUGGAGCUCAACUCCAGAACUGCCUUUCAUACUGGCAAUCUAGAGUCCGGAAGAGGUAAGUGGAACUCCUAGUGUAGAGGUGGAAUUCGUAGAUAUUAGGAAGAACACCAGUGGCGAAGGCGGCUUACUGGUCCGGUACUGACGCUGAGGUGCGAAAGCGUGGGGAGCAAACA
RNAcentral lists this ribosomal RNA (402 nucleotides) under uncultured Devosia sp. Its description in RNAcentral is "bacterial SSU rRNA". It matches the Rfam family "Bacterial small subunit ribosomal RNA", at positions 355 to 774 of the family's 1533-position model. Lineage: Bacteria; Pseudomonadati; Pseudomonadota; Alphaproteobacteria; Hyphomicrobiales; Devosiaceae. The record is from RNAcentral.